This 1175-nucleotide long non-coding RNA is filed under the name Diabrotica virgifera virgifera (western corn rootworm). RNAcentral's name for it is "uncharacterized LOC126892457". Lineage: Eukaryota; Metazoa; Arthropoda; Insecta; Coleoptera; Chrysomelidae. The record is from RNAcentral.
CGUUACUUAAUGAAAAUAUUUUAAUUAAAAAUCAAUAAUUUAAUAUUUAUAAAAUGCUACUUUUCCAUCUUGCAACACCGCCAACACUGGACAUUAGUUCCACGAGUAGCCGCUGUCGCAAGUAUCAAGAAGAACUGUCAAAUUUUUAAAAAGUUUCACUGUUAGCUGAACCUCCAAAUAAAUAAGUUCCAAGUGGUCGGUGGCUUUUUGAACAAAAAAAGGAAUCACCUUUUAGUUAUUUUUUUUAUACGGAAGUUAUCGUAAUUAAGUUGAAGGAGGAGAAAGUUUUGUUUUGUUGAAGAAGAAAAGUAUUAAUUUGGUAAAAAUUUGGGAUGAUUGCUAUCGGCCACUUGGAACCACUUAAAUGUUCAUCCCACUAACAUCAGGGAUGAAAUGAAAUAAAAAACUUUAGCAGCAGUCACGGGGUAGCCUAGGAGCUGGAAUCGUCUUUUGAGUUGGUUUUUGGACUAUCAUUAUUUUGUUUGGAACUUUGGAAAAGACUUUACGUUAGUUGGUGUUGGACAGUGAUUAAGUAUUUUUUUUAUUAUUAUUCUCAAGAACAUUAAUUUUUUCUAAAUAAUUGGAACAUUCAAUAUCUAUUAAAAAUAUAAAAUUAAAUAAGUUUACAUUAUACUCCACUAAGUUAUUCAUAAUUUUUUCAAACAAAAACAAAAGAAAUAAUUUAAAUAUUUUCACUUUUUAAUAAUAAAUAAUACCUCCUCUUCAAGGCUUCAAAUUUGCAUUUUUCUAAUAAAUUAAUUUCUUUUGUUUCUUUUCUCACGUGUAAAGGUAAUUGAGCUCAACUAUCCGGAGAAAAUUUGGUAAUUAUUUUUUUUAUAUAUUAUAAUUAAUGAACCUUGGCUUUCGUCCCCCUCAGGGUAAUUGACCAUUUAAUUUGUUUUUUUAUUAUUGUAACCGCACAUGAAGGUAGAGUUUUACCUCGAGUAGUGUGUCGGUUCAUUUUUGUACCAUAAAUUGGACUUGACAUUUCAAACCAAUUUUUAGGGGUGGACUUUGUUCCUCUUUUGUUUAAACUACUCUGUAGACUGUAAAUUGUACAUACUUUAUUAGUAAAAUAUUUUUUUAUUAAUUUUAGGGUAUACCUCGUUGGUACAUAUACGAAUUUAUUGUACAUAUAAGUAAAAGCUAAAUACACUAUUGAUUGGGUUGCAUAA